Long non-coding RNA from Populus trichocarpa (black cottonwood), 429 nucleotides. RefSeq lists it as uncharacterized. The record is from RefSeq and is a predicted model, not a curated record. The transcript has 3 exons. NCBI's taxonomy places the organism in Eukaryota, Viridiplantae, Streptophyta, Magnoliopsida, Malpighiales, Salicaceae.
AUCUUCACUUCCUUCUUUCUUUUCUUUCUCAAUAGUUUCUUCAAUGUUUUGGAUGGUGACAACUUCUUCCUGGCUUGGAAUAUCAUCAAUCUUGUCACUCAAAGUGCCCGCCUCAGUUUCAGCAGCCAUAACAGUUGAUAACUCUUCAGGUUCUCCUGGUUCAAUUCUCUGCAGUUCUUGUUCAGAAUCUUCUUGGACCUUCGAUGCUUCCCUUGCGCUGUCCAGGUUAGUCACGGUUAGGUCAGGAUUGCUAUCAUUUCCAUCAUCUGCUCUGUCCAAAGAUCCAUGCUCUUCUUUCUUUUCUUUCUCUACGGUUUCUUCAAUGUUUUGGAUUGUGACAACUUCUUCCUGGCUUGUAAUAUCAUCAAUCUUGUCACUCAAAUUGCCUGCCUCAGUUUCAGCAGCCAUAACAGUUGAUGACUCUUCAGG